CGACGUAGGUAACCUGCCUCUUAGCGGGGGAUAACUAUUGGAAACGAUAGCUAAUACCGCAUAAAAGUCGACAUUGCAUGAUGUUGACUUGAAAGGUGCAACUGCAUCACUAAGGGAUGGACCUGCGUUGUAUUAGCUAGUUGGUGAGGUAACGGCUCACCAAGGCGACGAUACAUAGCCGACCCGAGAGGGUGAUCGGCCACACUGGGACUGAGACACGGCCCAG
This 226-nucleotide ribosomal RNA is filed under the name uncultured bacterium. RNAcentral describes it as "partial 16S ribosomal RNA". It matches the Rfam family "Bacterial small subunit ribosomal RNA", at positions 113 to 334 of the family's 1533-position model. The record is from RNAcentral.